UAGCGUUCUACACUGUAUAUAGUUGUUUAUUGUAGCUGGCUUUUUAAUUCUUGAAAAGACCAUCACAUGAAAGAUUUUUAAAUGUGGUUGUACGUCAUAUGUACGUUCAUAUGUGUAGGUAGGUGAAGAACGUUGAUCUCCCUUCAUUUUUUCGUUCCCGUUCGAUCGACUGAAGGUGUUACAGAUUGUUACGAUCAUUGAUUUCCCGAAUGUUAUAUUACUCUCUUAUUAUAUUAUAUUACUCUCUUAUAGUGUUUGAAAACCCUUAUUCAAGGGUUUUUUUUUGGAGUUUAUCUUCCCUGGUAGGAGCUAAGCCAAUUUUUCCAAGUUCGGGACUGCUUCAAAACGUUUGACGUUCCUGACUUCACGGAGCUGACGAUACGACUUCGUCCAAUUUGCAGAUCCUGCAGCCUGCAAAAGAACUUCGUACAAUUUGCAGAUCCUGUAGCCUGCAACAGAACUUCGUCCUGAUUGGCAGUACAUCAGUCUUCCCGUUACUCCAUUUCAACAGGGAAGUAAAUAUUAUGAAAAUCUAGUAUUUUCAUCUAUAUGUGUGUACAUAUGAUCUGAGACUUUUUUUAACUAUAAUUUGUAAUUCUAGUAUUUAGUAUUUAGCUGUAAAUAUUUUUCUUGAAUUCAUUCUGGUACCAGGCUAUUGAUUGUAUAUUUUUAUUUGUGAAGAUAACACUUUUGUAAAUAGACGAGUGAUUUGUUCGACUGGGA
Molecule: long non-coding RNA, 723 nt
Organism: Coccinella septempunctata (seven-spotted ladybird)
Lineage: Eukaryota; Metazoa; Arthropoda; Insecta; Coleoptera; Coccinellidae
Exons: 2
Source: RefSeq, a predicted model, not a curated record